This 433-nucleotide ribosomal RNA is filed under the name uncultured bacterium. Its description in RNAcentral is "partial 16S ribosomal RNA". It matches the Rfam family "Bacterial small subunit ribosomal RNA", at positions 29 to 507 of the family's 1533-position model. The record is from RNAcentral.
AGCGAACGCUGGCGGCAGGCUUAACACAUGCAAGUCGAGCGGGCCUUUCGGGGUCAGCGGCGGACGGGUGAGUAACGCGUGGGAACGUGCCCUCUGGUUCGGAAUAACUCAGGGAAACUUGAGCUAAUACCGGAUACGCCCUUUUGGGGAAAGGCUUGCUGCCGGAGGAUCGGCCCGCGUCUGAUUAGCUAGUUGGUGAGGUAACGGCUCACCAAGGCGACGAUCAGUAGCUGGUCUGAGAGGAUUAUCAGCCACACUGGGACUGAGACACGGCCCAGACUCCUACGGGAGGCAGCAGUGGGGAAUAUUGGACAAUGGGCGCAAGCCUGAUCCAGCCAUGCCGCGUGAGUGAUGAAGGCCUUAGGGUUGUAAAGCUCUUUUAUCCGGGACGAUAAUGACGGUACCGGAGGAAUAAGCCCCGGCUAACUUCGUG